GCCUUACACAUGCAAGUCGAAGGGCAACGUGGCGUUAAGCUUGCUCCAGCCCGACAACGAGGGGCGAACGGGUGAGUAAUACGUCGGACCGCGGCCGCUCGUGGGGGACAUCCAGACGAAAGGAUGGCUAAUACCGCAUGAGGUCGACGGAAGAGGGAGGGGGACCCGCGAGGGCCUCUCGCGAGCGGAGCGGCCGAUGACUGAUUAGCCUGUUGGUGAGGUAACGGCUCACCAAAGCAACGAUCAGAAGCUGGUCUGAAAGGACGAGCACCCCCACUGGGACUGAGACACGGCCCAGACUCCUACGGGAGGCAGCAGUGGGGAAUUUUGGACAAUGGGCGCAAGCCUGAUCCAGCUAUUCCGCGUGUGGGAUGAAGGCCCUCGGGUUGUGAACCACUUUUGUAGAGAACAAAAAGACAUCUUCGAAGAAAGGAUGUGGCUGACGGUACUCUAAGAAUAAGCACCGGCUAACUACGUGCCAGCAGCCGCGGCAAGACGAAGGGUGCGAGCGUUAGAUCGGAAUGUACUGGGCGGAAGGGGAGCGCAGGCGGCUGAGUAAGACAGAUGUGACAUCCCCACAGCUUAAGCACGGGAAUGGCAUAUGUGACUGCUCGACUACAGUGUGUCAGAGGGAGGUGAAAUUGCACGUGUAGCAGUGAAAUGAGUAGAUAUGAGGAAGAACACCGAUGGCGAAGGCAGCGUCAUGGGACAUAACUGACGCUCAGGCAAGAAAGCGUGGGGAGCAAACAGAUCUAGAUACGAUGGUAGUGCAGUCCCUAACAGAUGUUAAGUAGUUGUUGGGAUGUAACAAUCUCAGUAACGCAGCCAACGAGAGAAGUUAGCUUCCUGGGAAGUACGUGUCGCAAGACUAAAAGUCAAAGGAAUUGACGGGGACCCGCACAAGCGGUGGAUGAUGUGGAUUAAUUAGAUGCAACGUGAAAGACGUUCCUUACCCUUGACAUGUCACGAAGGUAUUGUAAUGAGAGCGUGCCAGCAAGGGAGCGUGAACACAGAUGUUGCAUGGCGGUGUUCAGAUCGUGUCGUGAGAUGUUGGGUUAAGUCCCGCAACGAGCGCACCCCUUGUCAGUAGAGGUUAUGAAAGGGCAAUCUAGUGAGUCUGCCGGUGACAAACGGGAGGAAGGUGGGGAAGACGUCAAGUCCUCAUGGUCAUUAUGGGUAGGGCUUCACAGGUCAUACAAUGGUCGGAACAGAGGGCAGAGAAGCCGUGAGGUGGAGCCAAUCCCAGAAAUCCGAUAGUAGUCUGGAUGGCAGUAUGCAAGUCGACUGCAUGAAGUCGGAAUCGCUAGUAAUCGCGGAUCAGCAUGUCGCGGAGAAUACAUUGCAGGGUCUUGUACACACCGCCCGUCAGACAAUGGGAGUGGUGUUAACCAGAAGUCCUUAGCGUAACCGCAAGAAGGGCGGCGACCACGGUGAG
Molecule: ribosomal RNA, 1435 nt
Filed under: uncultured organism
Description: 16S ribosomal RNA
Rfam family: Bacterial small subunit ribosomal RNA
Source: RNAcentral